This 72-nucleotide transfer RNA is filed under the name Camelus bactrianus (Bactrian camel). It matches the Rfam family "tRNA". From Rfam's summary of the family: Transfer RNA (tRNA) molecules are approximately 80 nucleotides in length. Their secondary structure includes four short double-helical elements and three loops (D, anti-codon, and T loops). RNAcentral also lists the same sequence under 2 other names. Lineage: Eukaryota; Metazoa; Chordata; Mammalia; Artiodactyla; Camelidae. The record is from Rfam by way of RNAcentral.
GAGGAUAUAGCUCAGUUGUAGAGUGCAUGCUUAGCGUCCAUGAGGUCCUGGGUUCAAUCUCCAGUAUCCCCA